This 1686-nucleotide ribosomal RNA is filed under the name Helicobacter pylori GAM270ASi. RNAcentral describes it as "bacterial LSU rRNA". It matches the Rfam family "Bacterial large subunit ribosomal RNA", at positions 284 to 1975 of the family's 2925-position model. Lineage: Bacteria; Pseudomonadati; Campylobacterota; Epsilonproteobacteria; Campylobacterales; Helicobacteraceae. The record is from RNAcentral.
GCUUGCAUUCGGGGUUGAGGACUGCAAUAUCCAAGAGAACGCUUUAGCAGAGUUACCUGGAAAGGUAAGCCAUAGAAAGUGAUAGCCUUGUAUGCGACAAGGCGUUUUUAGGUAGCAGUAUCCAGAGUAGGCCAGGACACGAGAAAUCCAGGUUGAAGCCGGGGAGACCACUCUCCAACCCUAAAUACUACUCUUUGAGCGAUAGCGAACAAGUACCGUGAGGGAAAGGUGAAAAGAACCGCAGUGAGCGGAGUGAAAUAGAACCUGAAACCAUCUGCUUACAAUCAUUCAGAGCCCUAUGAUUUAUCAGGGUGAUGGACUGCCUUUUGCAUAAUGAUCCUGCGAGUUGUGGUAUCUGGCAAGGUUAAGCGAAUGCGAAGCCGUAGCGAAAGCGAGUCUUAAUAGGGCGCUUGAGUCAGAUGCUGCAGACCCGAAGCUAAGUGAUCUAUCCAUGGCCAAGUUGAAGCGCGUGUAAUAGCGCGUGGAGGACUGAACUCGUACCCAUUGAAACGGGUUGGGAUGAGCUGUGGAUAGGGGUGAAAGGCCAAACAAACUUAGUGAUAGCUGGUUCUCUUCGAAAUAUAUUUAGGUAUAGCCUCAAGUGAUAAUAAAAGGGGGUAGAGCUCUGAUUGGGCUAGGGCUGCUCGCCGCGGUACCAAACCCUAUCAAACUUCGAAUACCUUUUAUCGUAUCUUGGGAGUCAGGCGGUGGGUGAUAAAAUCAAUCGUCAAAAGGGGAACAACCCAGACUACCAAAUAAGGUCCCUAAGUUCUAUUCUGAGUGGAAAAAGAUGUGUGGCUACUCAAACAACCAGGAGGUUGGCUUAGAAGCAGCCAUCCUUUAAAGAAAGCGUAACAGCUCACUGGUCUAGUGGUCAUGCGCUGAAAAUAUAACGGGGCUAAGAUAGACACCGAAUUUGUAGAUUGUGUUUGACACAGUGGUAGAAGAGCGUUCAUACCAGCGUUGAAGGUAUACCGGUAAGGAGUGCUGGAGCGGUAUGAAGUGAGCAUGCAGGAAUGAGUAACGAUAAGAUAUAUGAGAAUUGUAUCCGCCGUAAAUCUAAGGUUUCCUACGCGAUGGUCGUCAUCGUAGGGUUAGUCGGGUCCUAAGCCGAGUCCGAAAGGGGUAGGUGAUGGCAAAUUGGUUAAUAUUCCAAUACCGACUUAUGGAGCGUGAUGGGGGGACGCAUAGGGUUAAGCGAGCUAGCUGAUGGAAGUGCUAGUCUAAGGGCGUAGAUUGGAGGGAAGGCAAAUCCACCUCUGUAUUUGAAACCCAAACAGGCUCUUUGAGUCCUUUUAGGACAAAGGGAGAAUCGCUGAUACCGUCGUGCCAAGAAAAGCCUCUAAGCAUAUCCAUAGUCGUCCGUACCGCAAACCGACACAGGUAGAUGAGAUGAGUAUUCUAAGGCGCGUGAAAGAACUCUGGUUAAGGAACUCUGCAAACUAGCACCGUAAGUUCGCGAUAAGGUGUGCCACAGCGAUGUGGUCUCAGCAAAGAGUCCCUCCCGACUGUUUACCAAAAACACAGCACUUUGCCAACUCGUAAGAGGAAGUAUAAGGUGUGACGCCUGCCCGGUGCUCGAAGGUUAAGAGGAUGCGUCAGUCGCAAGAUGAAGCGUUGAAUUGAAGCCCGAGUAAACGGCGGCCGUAACUAUAACGGUCCUAAGGUAGCGAAAUUCCUUGUCGG